UGGGGAAUAUUGCACAAUGGGGGAAACCCUGAUGCAGCGACGCCGCGUGAGCGAAGAAGGUUUUCGAAUCGUAAAGCUCUGUCCUAUGAGAAGAUAAUGACGGUAACCGGAGAAGAAGCCCCGGCUAACUUCGUGCCAGCAGCCGCGGUAAUACGAAGGGGGCUAGCGUUGUUCGGAUUUACUGGGCGUAAAGCGCACGUAGGCGGACUAUUAAGUCAGGGGUGAAAUCCCGGGGCUCAACCCCGGAACUGCCUUUGAUACUGGUAGUCUUGAGUUCGAGAGAGGUGAGUGGAAUUCCGAGUGUAGAGGUGAAAUUCGUAGAUAUUCGGAGGAACACCAGUGGCGAAGGCGGCUCACUGGCUCGAUACUGACGCUGAGGUGCGAAAGCGUGGGGAGCAAACAGG
Molecule: ribosomal RNA, 404 nt
Filed under: Verrucomicrobiota bacterium
Lineage: Bacteria; Pseudomonadati; Verrucomicrobiota
Description: Verrucomicrobia bacterium partial 16S ribosomal RNA
Rfam family: Bacterial small subunit ribosomal RNA
Source: RNAcentral